UAGAAACCCUGUCUUGAGAUGAACUUUACCAAUAAAACACACAAAGCAGCUGGAUUAUAUCUUCUACUGAAGUCUGGCAAAAAUUAAAUCUGAUCACCCGUGAUAAACUAUGGGACAAUUACUCAGGUAACAAGGUGUAAGGGUGUUACAUGUCUCUGCUAUGUUUUCUGCAGCCUUCAUUUUGGUAUAUGUGAGCUGAAAGAGGCUUUGCAGAGAAGAUAAAGAAAAUAAUUCUUCAUGCAGAACUAGGCUUCAGAGAAUGAAGAGCCCAGCAUUGCCAGAACUCAGUUUUAAUUUAAAGGAAGAAGCUGACCAUUACUACAGAUUUUCUUCUGGUUCUUUAUCUGUUUUAUAAUGUCAGUGAAUUGGAGUUCCAGUUAUUCAUUAAUAUUUAAGAGAUGCAGACCUGGUUACCUUCUCUGGACCUUUAACUACUCCGUAAAGCAGACGAGCGUACGUGAAAGAGCACUUCAACUACAGCAUUCUUUCACACCAGCUGAAUUACAAAACUGAACUUGAUAGAUAGAAUUACUUUUCACAAUUCUGUCCCCUGCAUGUGGCUUUUGAACAGGAUUCAAUAUGAUUUGGAGAUCUAGAUUAAUCAGUGGAACACAGAAGGUUCAGCUGGGGAUCUUUGUUAAAUCUUAAUGGCAGCACUUAGCCGUUACAAAAAUUAUAAAAUCACUUUAAGUAAGUGUAUUGGGUUUACAUGCUUUUCCUACUAGAUGGUGAUACAGGGCCCAACUGUGUAAAAUCUCUACUUCAUAUCAACUGUAAAACUGUACUAAGUAAUAAAUAAAGUCUGUACACUAAGUAAAUGAGUAAG
This 826-nucleotide long non-coding RNA is filed under the name Anas platyrhynchos platyrhynchos (common mallard). RNAcentral describes it as "lncRNA (ENSAPLG00000021843.1)". The record is from RNAcentral. Lineage: Eukaryota; Metazoa; Chordata; Aves; Anseriformes; Anatidae.